CCAGACUCCUACGGGAGGCAGCAGUAGGGAAUCUUCGGCAAUGGACGGAAGUCUGACCGAGCAACGCCGCGUGAGUGAAGAAGGUUUUCGGAUCGUAAAGCUCUGUUGUAAGAGAAGAACGAGUGUGAGAGUGGAAAGUUCACACUGUGACGGUAUCUUACCAGAAAGGGACGGCUAACUACGUGCCAGCAGCCGCGGUAAUACGUAGGUCCCGAGCGUUGUCCGGAUUUAUUGGGCGUAAAGCGAGCGCAGGCGGUUAGAUAAGUCUGAAGUUAAAGGCUGUGGCUUAACCAUAGUACGCUUUGGAAACUGUUUAACUUGAGUGCAAGAGGGGAGAGUGGAAUUCCAUGUGUAGCGGUGAAAUGCGUAGAUAUAUGGAGGAACACCGGUGGCGAAAGCGGCUCUCUGGCUUGUAACUGACGCUGAGGCUCGAAAGCGUGGGGAGCAAACAGGAUUAGAUACCCUGGUAGUCCACGCCGUAAACGAUGAGUGCUAGGUGUUAGACC
This 506-nucleotide ribosomal RNA is filed under the name uncultured bacterium. Its description in RNAcentral is "bacterial SSU rRNA". It matches the Rfam family "Bacterial small subunit ribosomal RNA", at positions 331 to 829 of the family's 1533-position model. The record is from RNAcentral.